Molecule: unclassified non-coding RNA, 355 nt
Filed under: Hevea brasiliensis (rubber tree)
Lineage: Eukaryota; Viridiplantae; Streptophyta; Magnoliopsida; Malpighiales; Euphorbiaceae
Source: RNAcentral
ACAAAUUCGACAACACCUAUCAGGUAAUUUCUGAAAAAAAAAGUGGAAAACCACUAGCUCUGCUUGCUUGGUUCGCGAUUUGGGUUCAGAUUACAAUUACAUAGUUGGCUUUGCUCAUGUUAUAUGGAUUGAUCUCAUUGCAUUUUCUUUUGUUGUUAAUUAUUACACCAUUUCUGCAAUAUAAUUUGAUAACUUGCUUAUGUAAUUACAUUUCAAUUGUUGAUAUCACUGCUAUCUCACGAAUUGGGUUCGAACCAAUCAAGCUACUUACCCCUGCUUGGAUUGAGUGCAUCAUGUUUAUUAAUGUAUAUUACUGUAUUAUGGUUUCUAGUGUUAACAUGUUUGGAAAGAUGGU